UUUCCGCAGGUGAACCUGCGGAAGGAUCAUUAUUGUAUAACCGAGGUGCGAGGGCUGUCGCUGACCCGAAAGGUCGUGCACGCCCGAGUGCCCUCACACACAUCCAUCUCACCCCUAUGUGCAUCACCGCGUGGGUCCCCCUUUGGCUUGUUCGGAGGGGGGCUUACGUUUUCACACAAACUUUGUAUGCAGUGUAGAAUGUAUUUUUUGUUUUUGCGAUCACGCAAUCAAUACAACUUUCAACAACGGAUCUCUUGGCUCUC
This 263-nucleotide unclassified non-coding RNA is filed under the name plant metagenome. Its description in RNAcentral is "partial contains small subunit ribosomal RNA, internal transcribed spacer 1, and 5.8S ribosomal RNA". The record is from RNAcentral.